Triticum aestivum (bread wheat) is the source of this 136-nucleotide non-coding RNA. Lineage: Eukaryota; Viridiplantae; Streptophyta; Magnoliopsida; Poales; Poaceae. The record is from Rfam.
CAUGUACUUCCUCCGUCCGGAAAUACUUGUCAUCAUAACGAACAAAAGGGGAUGUAUCUAUGACGUAUUUUAGUUCUAGAUACAUCCCUUUUUAUUCAUUUUGAUGACAAGUAUUUUCGGACGGAGGGGACACAAG